Molecule: ribosomal RNA, 486 nt
Filed under: uncultured bacterium
Lineage: Bacteria
Description: partial 16S ribosomal RNA
Rfam family: Bacterial small subunit ribosomal RNA
Source: RNAcentral
GAUGAACGCUAGCGGCAGGCCUAAUACAUGCAAGCCCAGCGCUGUUUGGUGUAGCAAUACCUCAAACAACCGGCUGACGGGUGCUUAACGCGUAUGCAACCUACCCUAUACAGGAGGAUAGCCCUCGGAAACGAGGAUUAAUACUCCAUAAGAUUGCUUAGAGGCAUCUUUAAUCAAUUAAAGCCGCACGGCGGUAUAGGAUGGGCGUGCGUCCGCUUAGAUAGUUGGUGAGGUAACGGCUCACCAAGGCGAUGAUCGGUAGGGGUUCUGAGAGGAAGAUCCACCAGACGGGAAAUGAGACACGGACCCGACUGGUACGGGAGGGAGCGGUAGGGAAUAUAGGAGAAGGGGUGAAAGCCGGAUCAAGCCAUGCCGCGUGCAGGAAGAAGGCCAUAGGGGUGGUAAGCUGUUUGUGAGGGGGAGAAAUAAGGGCGAUGAGUCGAUCGAUGAUAGUACUUCUAGAAUAAGCAGCGGCUAACUUCGGGC